RNAcentral lists this RNase P RNA (354 nucleotides) under Woeseiaceae bacterium. Its description in RNAcentral is "RNase P RNA component class A". It matches the Rfam family "Bacterial RNase P class A". From Rfam's summary of the family: Ribonuclease P (RNase P) is a ubiquitous endoribonuclease, found in archaea, bacteria and eukarya as well as chloroplasts and mitochondria. Its best characterised activity is the generation of mature 5'-ends of tRNAs by cleaving the 5'-leader elements of precursor-tRNAs. Lineage: Bacteria; Pseudomonadati; Pseudomonadota; Gammaproteobacteria; Woeseiales; Woeseiaceae. The record is from RNAcentral.
GGAGUCGGCCAGGCAAUCGCUGCAGGUCAGCAAUCUGCAGAGGAAAGUCCGGGCUCCAUCGGACAGGGCGCCAGGUAACGCCUGGGGGGCGCGAGCCCACGGAAAGUGCCACAGAAAAUAUACCGCCGGCAUGCCGGUAAGGGUGAAAAGGUGCGGUAAGAGCGCACCGCGCGACUGGUAACAGUUCGCGGCACGGUAAACCCCGCCUGGAGCAAGACCAAAUAGGGAAGCAGGGCUCUGGCCCACCGCCGGUUCCGAGCGGGCUUCCGGGUAGGUUGCACGAGGCAGUCGGUGACGGCUGUCCCAGAUGAAUGAUUGUCCACGACAGAACCCGGCUUAUCGUCGGCUCCUGGU